This 355-nucleotide long non-coding RNA is filed under the name Pelobates cultripes (western spadefoot toad). The record is from RNAcentral. Lineage: Eukaryota; Metazoa; Chordata; Amphibia; Anura; Pelobatidae.
GGGGGGAAUAAGGAGAGAUGGGGGAAUAAGGAGAGAUUGGGAGGGGGGAAUAAGGAGAGAUGGGGGGAAUAAGGAGAGAUUGGGAGGGAUAAGGAGCGAUGGGGGAUAAAGAGAGAUUGGGAGGGGGGAAGGAAAUUGGAGAGGGGGGAUAAAGAAAGAUUGGGGGGAGAUAAAGAAAGAAAGAAAUUGGGAGGGGGGAGAGAAAUUGGGAGGGGGAAGGAAAUUGGAGACGGCGAUAAAGAAAGAAAUUGGGAGGGGGAGAGAGAAGGGAAAUUGGAGUAGGGGAGAGAUUGACAUUCAUCACACACAAUGCACCCCUUGCACACAGAAAAAACACACAAUGCAUUACACACAC